GGGAUUAUAGCUUAAUCUUGGUAGAGCACAUAAUUGUCGAUUAUGAGGAUAUCGGUUCGAAUCCGUUUAAUCCCG
Molecule: transfer RNA, 75 nt
Filed under: Mortierella sp. AD094
Lineage: Eukaryota; Fungi; Mortierellomycota; Mortierellomycetes; Mortierellales; Mortierellaceae
Also listed under: 1 other name
Description: tRNA-Asp
Rfam family: tRNA
About the family: Transfer RNA (tRNA) molecules are approximately 80 nucleotides in length. Their secondary structure includes four short double-helical elements and three loops (D, anti-codon, and T loops). Further hydrogen bonds mediate the characteristic L-shaped molecular structure. tRNAs have two regions of fundamental functional importance: the anti-codon, which is responsible for specific mRNA codon recognition, and the 3' end, to which the tRNAs corresponding amino acid is attached (by aminoacyl-tRNA synthetases). tRNAs cope with the degeneracy of the genetic code in two manners: having more than one tRNA (with a specific anti-codon) for a particular amino acid; and 'wobble' base-pairing, i.e. permitting non-standard base-pairing at the 3rd anti-codon position.
Source: RNAcentral